Long non-coding RNA from Bubalus bubalis (water buffalo), 610 nucleotides. RefSeq lists it as uncharacterized. The record is from RefSeq and is a predicted model, not a curated record. Lineage: Eukaryota; Metazoa; Chordata; Mammalia; Artiodactyla; Bovidae. The transcript has 2 exons.
CUCAAAACUGGUGCAUAUUAGUAUCACCUGGAGAGUCUUUAAAACUCCCAAGGCUCAAGCCACAACCCAAGCCAAUUAAAUCAAUCAAUGGGUGUGGAUAAAGCAGUGUCAAUGCCAGGUUUUAAAAGUUAAACCAGGUAUUUCCAGGAAGACAGUGGGUCUUCCCUGUGGUUCAGUCAGUAAAGAGUCUGUCUGCAAUGUAGGAGACCCAGGUUCAAUGUCUGCGUUGGGAAGAUCCCCUGGAGAAGGACAUGGCAACCCACUCCAGUAUUCUUGCCUGGAAAACCCCAUUAACAGAGGAGCCUGGUGGGCUACAGUCCUUGAAAUCACAAAGAAUGCGACACGGACUAAGCGACUCACACACACACAGGAAGAUAGUGAGGUGUUUCAGGCAGAGGGGAAGUUCCACAAAGACUCAGAUGCAGGAAAUGACUCUGGAUAUUGGAGGCUGAUGUGGACAUUCAUGUGAUGCUUAGGAAGUGUGAUGCUUCUGAAACAAGAACACAUUCUACAAAAAUGGCCCUUAAAAACACUUUCCCUUCUCUAUUCUUGCAAUGAAGGUGCAUUUUGGUGUUAAAAAUAUAAAUUCUAGGCUGGUUUCUCCUGUGAA